CAGCCGCCGCGGGAAUACAGAGGGUGCGAGCGUUAUCCGGAAUCAUUGGGUUUAAAGGGUCCGUAGGCGGUCUUGUAAGUCAGUGGUGAAAGCCCAUCGCUCAACGGUGGAACGGCCGUUGAUACUGCAGGACUUGAAUUAUUGGGAAGUAACUAGAAUAUGUAGUGUAGCGGUGAAAUGCUUAGAGAUUACAUGGAAUACCAAUUGCGAAGGCAGGUUACUACCAAUUGAUUGACGCUGAUGGACGAAAGCGUGGGUAGCGAACAGGAUUAGAUACCCGAGUAGUCCCUGUCUCUUAUAC
Molecule: ribosomal RNA, 301 nt
Filed under: uncultured bacterium
Lineage: Bacteria
Description: partial 16S ribosomal RNA
Rfam family: Bacterial small subunit ribosomal RNA
Source: RNAcentral